CCAGCAACUUGGAGGAAUGUAUAGCAAUAGCUACUUGCAUCAUUGUAUUGAUGAUGCAAGAUCGACUAUGUCGAAUAAAAUUCUAGGUAGAAUUAUGAUAAUGACAUUGUCUGCCUAUGUGUCUUGACCAAAUUACGUGCCAGCAGUCGCGGUAAUACGUAGAAGACUAGUGUUAUUCAUGUUUAAUCGGUUUAAAGGGUACCUAGACGGUAAAUCAAGCCUACAAAGAAAAGAAAUGAAGGGACUAAUUUACUAGAGUUACUUAUGAGGGGGUAUUAAAGUACUGCUGGUGUAGAGAUGAAAUUCUGUCAUACCUCUUUUCAAUAGAAAAAUAAUGGCACAGGUAUAGGCGAAAGCAUCCCCUUAUGUGAUAACUGACGUUGAGGGACGAAGGCUUUGUGUAGCGAACAGGAUUAGAUACCCCAGUAGUCAAAGCAGAAAAUGAUGAAUGUCAUAGAUUAGAUAAAUAAGUUUAUUCUAUAAAUGAAAGUGUAAGCAUUCCACCUCAAGAGUAAUUUGGCAACAUUGGAACUGAAAUCAUUAGACCGUUUCUGAAACCAGUAGUGAAGUAUGUUGUUUAAUUUGAUGAUCCGCAAAAAACCUUACCACAAUUUGAAUAUUUAUAUUUUUUAUUGUUUUCUUCUUAGAAUAAAUAGGUAAUAAAAUAUAUUUACAAGCGUUGCACGGCUGUCUUCAGUUAAUGUCGCGAGACUUUGGUUAGUUCCAUUAAAUUAACGUAAACCCUUACUUUAUUUUUAUAUAGAGUAGUUCCCCGCUAUAUUGGAUAUGAUAACAGGGACUAAGACAAGUC
RNAcentral lists this ribosomal RNA (811 nucleotides) under Imshaugia aleurites. Its description in RNAcentral is "mitochondrial SSU rRNA". It matches the Rfam family "Bacterial small subunit ribosomal RNA", at positions 348 to 1191 of the family's 1533-position model. Lineage: Eukaryota; Fungi; Ascomycota; Lecanoromycetes; Lecanorales; Parmeliaceae. The record is from RNAcentral.